GUCUACGGCCAUACCACCCUGAACGCGCCCGAUCUCGUCUGAUCUCGGAAGCUAAGCAGGGUCGGGCCUGGUUAGUACUUGGAUAGGAGACCGCCUGGGAAUACCGGGUGCUGUGGACU
This is a ribosomal RNA of Aotus nancymaae (Ma's night monkey), 119 nucleotides long. The record is from Ensembl. Lineage: Eukaryota; Metazoa; Chordata; Mammalia; Primates; Aotidae.